AUGUUUCCUGUAGCUGUGCUGCUGCUGUUGGCAGCUGGAUCAUAUGUGAAGUGUGACACUUUGACGCAGCCAGCCUCUGUGACUGUGCAGCCAGGUCAACCUCUGACCAUCAACUGCCAGGUCUCUUAUUCUCUCAACAGCUACCGCACACAUUGGAUCAGACAGCCUGCAGGAAAAGGACUGGAGUGGAUUGGAAGUGGUGCUGGAUCAUCAAGCACAUACUAUAAAGAUUCACUAAAGAACAAGUUCAGUAUCGACGUAGACACUUCCAGCAAAACAGUGACUCUAAAGGGACAGAACGUGCAGCCUGGAGACACUGCUGUGUAUUACUGUGCCAGAGACACACAAUUAUACAAACCAUCAGCCUACCUGAACAAAAACCCCUCAGUGAAAACACCUGGAGAGACCGUGAAGAUGUCAUGUGUCAUAUCUGGGAUUGACAUGUCAUCUGUCUAUAUAGCCUGGAUACGGCAGAGGCCGGGGGAAGGUUUGGAGUGGAUCGGGCGGAUGAACGCAGGUUCAAACUCUGCCAUCUAUGGCAGCUCCUUUCAAAACCGUUUCAUCAUGACUGAGGAUGUUUCCAGCAGCACUCAGUUCCUUCAGGUCAAGAGUCUGACAGCAGAAGAUGCUGCUGUUUACUUCUGUGCUCGAGACCCACAGUGA
Molecule: non-coding RNA, 663 nt
Organism: Limanda limanda (common dab)
Lineage: Eukaryota; Metazoa; Chordata; Actinopteri; Pleuronectiformes; Pleuronectidae
Source: the annotation of a RefSeq genome assembly